This 74-nucleotide transfer RNA is filed under the name Mucilaginibacter gotjawali. RNAcentral describes it as "tRNA-Phe". It matches the Rfam family "tRNA". Rfam says of the family: Transfer RNA (tRNA) molecules are approximately 80 nucleotides in length. Their secondary structure includes four short double-helical elements and three loops (D, anti-codon, and T loops). The record is from RNAcentral. Lineage: Bacteria; Pseudomonadati; Bacteroidota; Sphingobacteriia; Sphingobacteriales; Sphingobacteriaceae.
GGAGAAUUAGCAAACAUGGUGUAUGCGCCGGACUGAAAAUCCGGAGAUCCGGGAUCGUUACCCGGGUCCUCCAC